CACGUAGGCGGACUGGAAAGUUGGAGGUGAAAUCCCAGGGCUCAACCUUGGAACUGCAUUGGAAACUGUCAGACUAGAGUGCCGGAGAGGUAAGUGGAAUUCCUAGUGUAGCGGUGAAAUGCGUAGAUAUUAGGAGGAACACCAGUGGCGAAGGCGGCUUACUGGACGGUAACUGACGCUGAGGCUCGAAAGCGUGGGGAGCAAACA
RNAcentral lists this ribosomal RNA (207 nucleotides) under uncultured bacterium. Its description in RNAcentral is "partial 16S ribosomal RNA". It matches the Rfam family "Bacterial small subunit ribosomal RNA", at positions 568 to 774 of the family's 1533-position model. The record is from RNAcentral.